CCCACCUCCCCUCAUCCCUACGUUUUGUGCGAAAAUCCGAAACCAGUGGAAAACACAAAGACCCGCCAUUGUUAUUAUUAAAGAGCUCCAUAGAAAGAACCUCCCUUCUUUCCUCUCUCCUUCUCCCCCUCUCUUCUCAAGGUUUUGCGGAACCCUACCCCUACUUCAUAGAAAUCCAUGGCUGCUGCCUCCCUGACUCUGCCAUUUGCUUCUUCUUCUUCUGCCGCUGCCGCUUCUUCUUCUUCUGCUUCGUCUCUAUUCUCUCGCUAUACUCUCAGCCAUAGACGCUUUGUCUCCUCCGAAUCCCGCUCUCGAAUUCACGCCCAUAAAACCUUCAAAUGUGAUCUAUCCGAGCCGUUCAAAAAUAUAAAUGGGAAGCCCAUUGUUCCUAUCCUUAACGAGCGGAAUCUACCCAACUUUUUGGAAACUGCACGCAUGGAGAAGACAGUCAACCGAACUAGUACCAGGCUGAAAUUAUUUUCUGGCACUGCAAAUCCUAUCCUUUCUCAGGAAAUUGCUUGGUACAUGGGCCUGGAGCUCGGAAAGAUCAACAUAAAGCGAUUUGCAGAUGGGGAAAUAUAUGUUCAGUUGCAAGAGAGUGUCAGAGGAUGUGAUGUAUACCUAGUACAGCCUACCUGCCCUCCUGCAAAUGAGAAUCUCAUGGAGCUAUUAGUAAUGAUAGAUGCUUGUCGUAGAGCUUCGGCCAAAACCAUUACUGCAGUGAUUCCAUAUUUUGGAUAUGCUAGAGCUGACAGAAAGACCCAAGGGCGCGAAUCAAUUGCAGCCAAACUAGUUGCAAACCUUAUCACAGAAGCAGGUGCUAACCGUGUUCUAGCUUGUGACCUUCAUUCUGGGCAGUCCAUGGGUUACUUCGAUAUCCCAGUGGAUCAUGUAUAUUCUCUGCCUGUGAUUCUUGAUUAUCUUGCCAGCAAGACAAUCAGUUCUCAAGAUUUGGUAGUUGUUUCCCCUGAUGUUGGUGGGGUAGCAAGGGCACGUGCUUUUGCAAAAAAAUUAUCUGAUGCACCUUUAGCCAUUGUAGACAAAAGGCGCUAUGGACACAAUGUUGCUGAGGUGAUGAAUCUGAUUGGAGAUGUAAAAGGAAAAGUUGCAGUGAUGAUGGAUGACAUGAUUGACACUGCUGGGACCAUUGCUAAAGGUGCAGCUCUUUUACAUGAAGAGGGGGCCAGAGAGGUCUAUGCAUGCUGCACUCAUGCUGUGUUCAGGUUUGGUGAAGACAUCAGCCACUUGGAGAUCAAAAGAGAUGUGAGGAAGAGAUAUCACUGGACUUUCCAAGGUGUCUUGAAUAAAAUGACAAUCAACCUCAUUGUGCUUGGUGCGUUCAUGGAAAACGGGAUUGGUGGCAAUCUGGAUAGCACUAGUGUUAUCAGCAUGAAGAGGGGUAGAAGUAGUCUGAGAAAACCCAAGCUCCUCAAGAAGACCGCGUAGCCAUACAAUUUCAGAACAAGCAGUAAACAUAGCACGAUAUUCGGCCUCAGUCGAGGAUUUAGAAACACAAUCUUGUUUCUUACAUCUCCAAGAAAUUAAGGCAUCACCUAAAAACAUACACCAACCCGUAGUAGAUCGACGUGUAUCUGGACACUUAGCUCAAUCAGCAUCACUAUAGGCAACAAGUUGAAGAGAGGAGCUGGUAGGAAAGAACAACCCACGAGUAGAUGAACCUCAAAGAUAGUAGAUGAUGCGUCGAACUGCAGCAAGAUGGAGAUGCCAAGGAGAAGACAUAAACUGACUGACCUGAUGAACAACAUAGGAGAUAUCAGAUCGAGUAGUGGUCAAGUAGAUGGCAGGAAAACUAUGAACCUGGCUUUGAUACCAUGUCAAAUUGCUAAGAAACCGAGAAUGCUCAGAGAACUUUGUUGGACAAACUUAACCCUCCCUCCUGCAAUUGAGAGGUUGUCAAGCGGCCUGUUUCAAGAGGUGAUUGUUACAAACACGAUCCCAGUUGCAGAGAAGAACUACUUCCCCCAGUUGACUGUUCUUUCAGUGGCAA
Molecule: RNA transcript, 2008 nt
Organism: Juglans regia (Persian walnut)
Lineage: Eukaryota; Viridiplantae; Streptophyta; Magnoliopsida; Fagales; Juglandaceae
Gene name: ribose-phosphate pyrophosphokinase 1-like
Exons: 9
Source: RefSeq, a predicted model, not a curated record